Molecule: non-coding RNA, 25 nt
Filed under: Rattus norvegicus (Norway rat)
Lineage: Eukaryota; Metazoa; Chordata; Mammalia; Rodentia; Muridae
Source: RNAcentral
AUGUUAUAACAAUUAUAAUAAUGUC